Molecule: small nuclear RNA, 23 nt
Filed under: Arabidopsis thaliana (thale cress)
Lineage: Eukaryota; Viridiplantae; Streptophyta; Magnoliopsida; Brassicales; Brassicaceae
Description: snRNA_12273
Source: RNAcentral
CGGUACAGCCGAAGAAGACUCAG